This 1028-nucleotide ribosomal RNA is filed under the name Cladosporium cladosporioides. Its description in RNAcentral is "SSU rRNA". It matches the Rfam family "Eukaryotic small subunit ribosomal RNA", at positions 73 to 1110 of the family's 1831-position model. The record is from RNAcentral. Lineage: Eukaryota; Fungi; Ascomycota; Dothideomycetes; Cladosporiales; Cladosporiaceae.
ACUAUACGGUGAACUGCGAAUGGCUCAUUAAAUCAGUUAUCGUUUAUUUGAUAGUACCUUACUACAUGGAUAACCGUGGUAAUUCUAGAGCUAAUACAUGCUAAAAACCUCGACUUCGGAAGGGGUGUAUUUAUUAGAUAAAAAACCAAUGCCCUUCGGGGCUCCUUGGUGAAUCAUAAUAACUUAACGAAUCGCAUGGCCUUGCGCCGGCGAUGGUUCAUUCAAAUUUCUGCCCUAUCAACUUUCGAUGGUAGGAUAGUGGCCUACCAUGGUAUCAACGGGUAACGGGGAAUUAGGGUUCGACUCCGGAGAGGGAGCCUGAGAAACGGCUACCACAUCCAAGGAAGGCAGCAGGCGCGCAAAUUACCCAAUCCCGACACGGGGAGGUAGUGACAAUAAAUACUGAUACAGGGCUCUUUUGGGUCUUGUAAUUGGAAUGAGUACAAUUUAAAUCCCUUAACGAGGAACAAUUGGAGGGCAAGUCUGGUGCCAGCAGCCGCGGUAAUUCCAGCUCCAAUAGCGUAUAUUAAAGUUGUUGCAGUUAAAAAGCUCGUAGUUGAACCUUGGGCCUGGCUGGCCGGUCCGCCUCACCGCGUGUACUGGUCCGGCCGGGCCUUUCCUUCUGGGGAACCUCAUGCCCUUCACUGGGCGUGUUGGGGAACCAGGACUUUUACUUUGAAAAAAUUAGAGUGUUCAAAGCAGGCCUUUGCUCGAAUACAUUAGCAUGGAAUAAUAGAAUAGGACGUGUGGUUCUAUUUUGUUGGUUUCUAGGACCGCCGUAAUGAUUAAUAGGGAUAGUCGGGGGCAUCAGUAUUCAAUCGUCAGAGGUGAAAUUCUUGGAUUGAUUGAAGACUAACUACUGCGAAAGCAUUUGCCAAGGAUGUUUUCAUUAAUCAGUGAACGAAAGUUAGGGGAUCGAAGACGAUCAGAUACCGUCGUAGUCUUAACCAUAAACUAUGCCGACUAGGGAUCGGACGGUGUUAGUAUUUUGACCCGUUCGGCACCUUACGAGAAAUCAAAGUUUUUGG